Molecule: ribosomal RNA, 375 nt
Filed under: uncultured bacterium
Lineage: Bacteria
Description: partial 16S ribosomal RNA
Rfam family: Bacterial small subunit ribosomal RNA
Source: RNAcentral
CCUACGGGAGGCAGCAGUGGGGAAUAUUGCACAAUGGGGGAAACCCUGAUGCAGCGACGCCGCGUGAGUGAAGAAGGAUCUAGGUAUGUAAAGCUGUAUCAGCAGGGAAGAAGAAAGACGUUACCUGACCAAUAAGACACGGCUAACUACGUGACAGCAGCCGCGGUAAUACGCAGGGGGCAAGCGGUAACCGGAUUUACUGGGUGUAACGGGAUCGUAGGCGGCUGGGCAAGUCUGAAGUGAAAGCCCAGGGCUCAACCCUGGGACUGCUUUGGAAACUGUGCAGCUAGAGUGAUGGUGAGGUAGGUGGAAUUCCUAGUGUAGCGGUGAAAUGCUUAGAUAUUAGGAGGAACACCAGUGGCGAAGGCGGCUUAC